This 1520-nucleotide ribosomal RNA is filed under the name Curtobacterium sp. 8I-2. RNAcentral's name for it is "bacterial SSU rRNA". It matches the Rfam family "Bacterial small subunit ribosomal RNA". The record is from RNAcentral. Lineage: Bacteria; Bacillati; Actinomycetota; Actinomycetes; Micrococcales; Microbacteriaceae.
UACGGAGAGUUUGAUCCUGGCUCAGGACGAACGCUGGCGGCGUGCUUAACACAUGCAAGUCGAACGAUGAUGCCCAGCUUGCUGGGUGGAUUAGUGGCGAACGGGUGAGUAACACGUGAGUAACCUGCCCCUGACUCUGGGAUAAGCGUUGGAAACGACGUCUAAUACUGGAUAUGAUCACUGGCCGCAUGGUCUGGUGGUGGAAAGAUUUUUUGGUUGGGGAUGGACUCGCGGCCUAUCAGCUUGUUGGUGAGGUAAUGGCUCACCAAGGCGACGACGGGUAGCCGGCCUGAGAGGGUGACCGGCCACACUGGGACUGAGACACGGCCCAGACUCCUACGGGAGGCAGCAGUGGGGAAUAUUGCACAAUGGGCGAAAGCCUGAUGCAGCAACGCCGCGUGAGGGAUGACGGCCUUCGGGUUGUAAACCUCUUUUAGUAGGGAAGAAGCGAAAGUGACGGUACCUGCAGAAAAAGCACCGGCUAACUACGUGCCAGCAGCCGCGGUAAUACGUAGGGUGCAAGCGUUGUCCGGAAUUAUUGGGCGUAAAGAGCUCGUAGGCGGUUUGUCGCGUCUGCUGUGAAAUCCCGAGGCUCAACCUCGGGCUUGCAGUGGGUACGGGCAGACUAGAGUGCGGUAGGGGAGAUUGGAAUUCCUGGUGUAGCGGUGGAAUGCGCAGAUAUCAGGAGGAACACCGAUGGCGAAGGCAGAUCUCUGGGCCGUAACUGACGCUGAGGAGCGAAAGCAUGGGGAGCGAACAGGAUUAGAUACCCUGGUAGUCCAUGCCGUAAACGUUGGGCGCUAGAUGUAGGGACCUUUCCACGGUUUCUGUGUCGUAGCUAACGCAUUAAGCGCCCCGCCUGGGGAGUACGGCCGCAAGGCUAAAACUCAAAGGAAUUGACGGGGGCCCGCACAAGCGGCGGAGCAUGCGGAUUAAUUCGAUGCAACGCGAAGAACCUUACCAAGGCUUGACAUACACCGGAAACGGCCAGAGAUGGUCGCCCCCUUGUGGUCGGUGUACAGGUGGUGCAUGGUUGUCGUCAGCUCGUGUCGUGAGAUGUUGGGUUAAGUCCCGCAACGAGCGCAACCCUCGUUCUAUGUUGCCAGCGGGUUAUGCCGGGGACUCAUAGGAGACUGCCGGGGUCAACUCGGAGGAAGGUGGGGAUGACGUCAAAUCAUCAUGCCCCUUAUGUCUUGGGCUUCACGCAUGCUACAAUGGCCGGUACAAAGGGCUGCGAUACCGUAAGGUGGAGCGAAUCCCAAAAAGCCGGUCUCAGUUCGGAUUGAGGUCUGCAACUCGACCUCAUGAAGUCGGAGUCGCUAGUAAUCGCAGAUCAGCAACGCUGCGGUGAAUACGUUCCCGGGCCUUGUACACACCGCCCGUCAAGUCAUGAAAGUCGGUAACACCCGAAGCCGGUGGCCUAACCCUUGUGGAAGGAGCCGUCGAAGGUGGGAUCGGUGAUUAGGACUAAGUCGUAACAAGGUAGCCGUACCGGAAGGUGCGGCUGGAUCACCUCCUUU